GAUGAACGCUGGCGGCGUGCCUAAUACAUGCAAGUCGAGCGAACAGACGAGGAGCUUGCUCCUCUGACGUUAGCGGCGGACGGGUGAGUAACACGUGGAUAACCUACCUAUAAGACUGGGAUAACUUCGGGAAACCGGAGCUAAUACCGGAUAAUAUAUUGAACCGCAUGGUUCAAUAGUGAAAGACGGUUUUGCUGUCACUUAUAGAUGGAUCCGCGCCGCAUUAGCUAGUUGGUAAGGUAACGGCUUACCAAGGCAACGAUGCGUAGCCGACCUGAGAGGGUGAUCGGCCACACUGGAACUGAGACGCGGUCCAGACUCCUACGGGAGGCAGCAGUAGGGAAUCUUCCGCAAGGGGCGAAAGCCUGACGGAGCAACGCCGCGUGAGUGAUGAAGGUCUUCGGAUCGUAAAACUCUGUUAUUAGGGAAGAACAAAUGUGUAAGUAACUAUGCACGUCUUGACGGUACCUAAUCAGAAAGCCACGGCUAACUACGU
RNAcentral lists this ribosomal RNA (496 nucleotides) under uncultured bacterium. Its description in RNAcentral is "partial 16S ribosomal RNA". It matches the Rfam family "Bacterial small subunit ribosomal RNA", at positions 28 to 506 of the family's 1533-position model. The record is from RNAcentral.